RNAcentral lists this long non-coding RNA (236 nucleotides) under Lathyrus oleraceus (garden pea). RNAcentral describes it as "Pisum sativum (pea) long non-coding RNA (PSAT_LNC027030)". Lineage: Eukaryota; Viridiplantae; Streptophyta; Magnoliopsida; Fabales; Fabaceae. The record is from RNAcentral.
GGAUUUCAAGUGAUCAAAUUCUUUUGCAUGCUUACAAAUGAUGCAUUCAGCAUACUUUGUACACGAAUUGGGAGUGGAUUGCAUCAUCCCUAAGGCCCAAAUAAUUGCUCAUGCACCCAUGCAAAGGAGUUUCCAAAUUUGUCCAAAUUUCAAGUGGUGCAAAUAUCAAGUGCAUUGCCUAUUUAAACAAGCUUAAGGCUUCAGAUUCAUCAUCAAUACCUUGCCCAAGCUUUGCU